UGUUGUUUGUUGUUCUUGUUGUGUGCUUGGAAGCUGAUGUAAGUCCAUCGAGUGGCAUUCGGGUUCCAGUGUGGGUUUGUUGGGUUCGAGACGGAGAGAGUAAAGGUUGGGGACGAGUGAUUUUGAGUGAGCGGGCGUGAAGGAGAGACGCGAUGAGAGUUUGAGAGAGAAAGAAGUCUGUCUUCUCGAGGAAGACAAACGAAACCUGGAUUUCGUGCCCUCCCCCAAAUCAUUCCCUUUUUUUUAUUUUUUUCAUUUUUUUUAUUUUAUUUUUUAUUUUUAUUUCAUUUUUAAAUAAAAUAGGUUCUCGGAAAUAUUAAAGGUUUUAGAAUUCUUAGGUUUAGUUAAUAAUUAUUUUCAUAUUUUUAACUUAACCCCCAUUAAAAAAGAAACCAACAGACCUUCAUUUUUUGUUGUUUUAUGUUCCUUUUUUUUUUCCAAUCUAGUCUGGUUUAUAUGUUUAAGUUGUUAUCUAGAUGACAACUGAUGAUGAGUGGUCUGGUGGAGAAAGGUAGUAUCUUAUUCUUGAGUGGGGUGGGUUCAAUACUCAUGAGUGGCAUUUUUUUUUUUUUUUGCAUUUUUUAUUCUUUUAGUAUUUUGUUAAUAUCUUUUUUUGUUAUGUUUAUGCUUCAUUAUUUUUCAUAGUUUCAUUAUCAUAGAUUUGUUGUCUAUUAAGUUCAUCAUGCAUGCAAAACCAUUUUUAAACUUAUAAAAAAUCAUACUUUUCUCGAUUUAAUAUCGAGCCCUUUUUUCACACCCUCGUAAGUCGAUUGCUUUUUAAGCAUCGCCAUCAACCUCGCAUAGCUUACUCUUGGGCUUUCUUACAAUGAGCCGGUUCCUUUGCACUUACACUCAUACAUUGUUUAAUGCUUUAUUAUUUCAUUCUUCGAUUAUUUGAUUCGAUUAUAUACUUGUUUAUAUCUUAACUGUUUGAUUAACUGUGGCCUAUUUGUAUGGUGUAUGAGGCAUAUACUUAUAUUGCUUGAUUGCCAUGUCAACCCCCAUUCAUAACAAAUGUAUCCCUCUCCCAUGAAAUGUAUAAUAUUCUUUCAUUCUUUAUUCAUCUGUUAAUACAAGAAUUAAAAUGAACAUUCGAUAACCAUUUCAAAACAAGAUCAAAACCUCGAUCCAACGUCGAGUAAUCAUUUUUCAAAACCUAACAGAACCAGCACGUAUUCNCAAACGAAACCUGGAUUUCGUACCCUCCCCCAAAUCAUUUCCUUUUUUUAUUUUUUUUAUUUAUUUAUUUUUAUUUCAUUUUUAAAUAAAAUAGGUUCUCG
RNAcentral lists this long non-coding RNA (1280 nucleotides) under Lathyrus oleraceus (garden pea). Its description in RNAcentral is "Pisum sativum (pea) long non-coding RNA (PSAT_LNC022011)". Lineage: Eukaryota; Viridiplantae; Streptophyta; Magnoliopsida; Fabales; Fabaceae. The record is from RNAcentral.